RNAcentral lists this ribosomal RNA (440 nucleotides) under uncultured bacterium. RNAcentral's name for it is "partial 16S ribosomal RNA". It matches the Rfam family "Bacterial small subunit ribosomal RNA", at positions 338 to 795 of the family's 1533-position model. The record is from RNAcentral.
CCUACGGGUGGCAGCAGUGGGGAAUAUUGCACAAUGGGGGAAACCCUGAUGCAGCGACGCCGCGUGAGCGAAGAAGUAUUUCGGUAUGUAAAGCUCUAUCAGCAGGGAAGAAAAUGACGGUACCUGAGUAAGAAGCUCCGGCUAAAUACGUGCCAGCAGCCGCGGUAAUACGUAUGGAGCAAGCGUUAUCCGGAUUUACUGGGUGUAAAGGGAGCGCAGGCGGCCUUGCAAGUCUGAUGUGAAAUACCGGGGCUCAACCCCGGAGCUGCAUUGGAAACUGUGAGGCUGGAGUGUCGGAGAGGCAGGCGGAAUUCCUAGUGUAGCGGUGAAAUGCGUAGAUAUUAGGAGGAACACCAGCGGCGAAGGCGGCUUACUGGACCGUGACUGACGUUGAGGCUCGAAAGCGUGGGGAGCAAACAGGAUUAGAUACCCGAGUAGUC